UAUGAAAUAGUUACAUGAUGUGCAACC
RNAcentral lists this small RNA (27 nucleotides) under Bombyx mori (domestic silkworm). Its description in RNAcentral is "ovarian small RNA-3141". The record is from RNAcentral. Lineage: Eukaryota; Metazoa; Arthropoda; Insecta; Lepidoptera; Bombycidae.